Lutzomyia longipalpis is the source of this 4539-nucleotide long non-coding RNA. RefSeq lists it as uncharacterized. The transcript has 3 exons. The record is from RefSeq and is a predicted model, not a curated record. Lineage: Eukaryota; Metazoa; Arthropoda; Insecta; Diptera; Psychodidae.
UAUGUGCGAUGGCUGUCCGACCUCCAAGCGCGUGUGAUCACUGGAAAGCUCUUCGGGAACUUUGAUCGUGCUUCUUGCGCGGAGAUUAAUUGGAUGGAAAAGUUGGGCAUAGGUACCUAUGUACAUAUAAGAUGGUGGUGUGGGUAAAUUGCGUGUGGGAGGAGGAACACGAAAUAAAGGGGGAGGAUCUGACGAUAGAUGUAUAAUUUCUCUUUCUACCUUCAAUUGAAAUUCGUUGGCAAUAAACAACCAUUUUUCCCCCUCGUCUUUUGCAUGGCGACAAAUUUUACAGUGUUGCCAUUUUCGCCGUACGAUCAUCUUGUGAACGAAGCACCCCAAUACAUAUAUUCGUAAACUCCCGGCGACAAGAAAUUCUGUCGCGUCGCGAUCAUUUCGUCAUAACGACCUGAGUGAGAAUUGUACAAAUGUGUUGGGCGCUCUUCUAGAUACAUAUUAUAUACGUUGUACACAGUUGCACACAUAUUGGCACAUGUUGGGUGUCUCAUUAAAUAAGAAGAAACAAAUGGGAAUUAUCGAGUCGCGCCAUAGAGCUUCGAAAUCGACGGCGCUGCUGUGUGAAUUUUGUAUUAAAUUGCACGAAUGCCUGAGUUGAAAAAGCAAAUGAUAUAUAGGAGUCGGUGGGUAGUCAGCGGUGGUAGUGGUAGUGCACGCAUACAAGAGCUAAAGGUGGGUUUUGGGUAUGUGUGCCCGGCUAUUGCUCCCUCGAAGCUCAGCCGAGUAAACGCCACAGCCGAGCUACAGCAGUGCCUUUGAUAUCGACUCGACUUUGGUAGCUCAUUUCAGCACAAACUGUCUCUUGGUGAAGUCGAUUUUCCAUCAUAGCUCUCUGUCGGCUUCUUCUUCACCAACCAAUCUUCCAGCCAGACAUACCACCAUUCCCCCCAUUCCUCACGGUGCUCCGAGUGUUCUCUUUCUCUCUCUCACACACCUUUUCCGCGAUUAAUUUGAAAAGAUAAAAAUUCGAUAUAAAAAAUGAGAAAAAGUUUUUCCAAAUUGUUUGAAAAUCAGUGAUUUUUUUGGCAAAGAAAAAUUUGAAGAAAAAAAAAAGAAGUUGCAUGUUGUAAAGUGAUUGCAGUGAUUGAGUGAUGGACUGAAGAGACUGUUACAAGAAAAAAAAUCACACAUCCAGAGGCUUGGUGAAAAUUCAAUGAAAAUUAAUUUGUGCGAUCAAUAAGAAAACUACAUACAUUGGAUUUUUCUCAACACUGUGACUUUUCUCAAAUAAAUGAAUUUGGAACGACGCAGAAGAAGUUAUUAAUUUUUUUGUCUGAACAUCAAGGAAGACCCCCAACCAUAUGGAAUGGAAAAUCACAAAGUUUUUUUGGUUGAUGGGAAAAUCCUCAAGAGUUACAUUGACUCACCCAAACCCCUUUCCCCCUGUGUGAGAGGAGGGAUGGCGCAUCGGUACACAAUAUUGUGAAAUUGUCUCGGAAUGACGAUGUGGCGCGACAGAGACACACAACUUCCCGGACGGAUAAAUCUGCAAGUCAGCAAGAAGACGGUUUAUCGGGGAUGUGAUGCCGUAGAGCUGUGAAAAAGAUCUUCCCAAUUCACCAAUAUCCCCCUCGCCGUGUUGGCUGAAUGUCUGAAUCGCAGAGAGAAAGAACGCGAACAGCACACACCAAGACACCAUUUCAAUUUCAAAUAAUCUUGAUGAAUAUGGUAACGAUAAAAGUACUGUGUGACAUGCAAAAUAGCCGGUCAAGUGAAAGUCUCUGAACGGAGACUCUACCUGGCCUUGAGUUCGACCCGAGAGACGACCACUUUGAGAGAGAAAGAGAACCUUCGGGGUUUUUACGACAUGUCUUUUUUUUAUUUUUUCUUUAAAACAAAAAGAAAUAUCUCAUAGUUAUUAAUUACCUUUGCGCGUAAUUGCUCGUAAUCAAUAAUUUUUCUUGAAAAAAAAAACGUAAAAAUUUAACAACAUAAAAAAAUUUCAAGUGCGUCAAUGAUUGGAAAAAUCCCCCCAAAGACCGAAGACUCGAAGCCAGAGACGCCACUGGAUUUUCCCCUUCUGGACAUUGUCUCCAUUGCGGUAUAUCUGCGACCAAAUAAGAUUAUUUCCAUGGUUUUGCAAUUGACAUUGUGUGCAUAUUCAUCUGUGAACGGGGAAAAUUAAUUGGACGACCGCAAGGAUGUGACGAAGAUGCCGUAUGGAUUACAAACAAUUAUAUAUCGCAAGUGCUUGAAAAAGCUCACAUAAGGGGACCUCUCACGGAUCUACAUCAUGCAACAUAUCAGACGGUGUGAAGCACACUGAAAAAUCGUCCCGGAGACACAAAAAUGGAAACCCCCUGCGUGUGUAAAGUAAAAAAAAUGAAAAAAUAUUCAUCUGGUUUGCGACCACGCAAUAAAACGAAUUUUUCGCAAAGAGAGACAAAAGGGGUUGCGCGCGCACGCAGGAGUGUCGAGAUUUUGGGUGAGAUAUGGGUUGAGAGAUGAAAGGACCAUGUAGAGACGAUCGCAAGGAGGGUAAGAAUUUGCCGUAGACGAGGAAGAGGUGUCAGUGAACUGGUUUAUUCGCAUGCAAAAGGAUCACAUCAAGGACACGGUGUGUCUGGAAAUCUACCGUCACACAAAUCCCUGACGCAUUAACCGGGGAACUUUUUUGCUGGUGCCCUCCUGCAAACGAUCUCUUUGCCGAAAAUUUUUGAAGAGGGACUCUUGAGACCCAAAAAUUUGCCGUGUGUGAGAAUGAAUUGUCGCGCACAUCGAACCCAGAAGAAAUAACGCGAAGAGAGAACAAAAAAAAAAAUGCCAAAAGGGGACUCAACGCGGGAAGAACAUCUGUAAGGAAUACCCCCAAAAGCACAGCACAGAGAGAAGCAAAAGUAUGAUGAGGAAUUGAAGUAUAUGGGGAGAAGAAGAGAGGGGGACCUACACUUCAAAUGCCCACCUGCUGCUUGAUUAAGAAUUAUUACCCCGCCCAGGUAUUGAACCUCUUGGCAAUGUGUGAGUAUGCCCGGUUUAUUUUUUGCAAUAUAUUCCAUCUCAUUUUAAUUCUCUCCUAUUAUUAAUAAUAAUUAGCCAAUAAAAAUGAUAAUUGCUUGUAGUGCGAAGAUCAGCAGACACAUCGUGCACUCUUGUGGCCGAGGUAGCGGAGCACCGACGGCGCCUCUUCUGUUGUGUAUGGCUGUGAAGAAUGCAACGGAGGAGUUUAAUGCACCGUGAAAUUGGGUGAACAAAAGUCUGCUAACUCGUAUAACCCUCGGCGGCAGUGUGUGGUACCACCAAGUGUGUCCGAUCGGUGGUUUGGUUGUGCGCAAUCCAUUUGGGGGUCUCUCAUUGUGGCAAAGUUCUCUGGUGUACGCGCGCGCUCCACCAUUGCACCCUCACACAGCCCCAAAGUUCCGCAAAAAUUCUCACUCAAGGCAUGAGAGCAAAAUGGUCAUGAGUAAUUUGGUGUUGUGCCUUCUGUGUGUUCCACCGAUUAGCGCACAAUCCAGCACAGAGAUUCGAUCAUCUCGCAAUACAAACACAUUAACCCAAACAUAAAUCACCCACGCAACGAUCUUCACUUGUGAGUUUGAUCUUCUUGUUCAGCCAUUUCGAAAACAUGCAGUCGGCAUCUAUUUUUAAAUCACCAACCUCAUCCUCUUUGCUGCGCCAAACCUCGAUGGUGAAGAAGUUGAUACACCACACCUCACCUCCCCUGCCAACCCACCUUCCCACCUUCCUUCCCUCCGCCACACACACAAUAAGAUUUCCCCGAGAGCAAUAUACAUACUUUUUUUUAUCUGUGUUAAUAGCUUCAAACAACUAAUUGACGCAUUCCCUAUAUUCAGCACGCACUACAACUUUUUCUUUCUCUUCUUCCCCCCACACCACAUCCGCGCGCCCUAUGGCGUCGGCCCAUAUAACAGCAUAUUAUGUAUACCAUGCACUUUACCUCCUGCCCCCCCUCUCUCGUACCCGCUCUCUUCCAGCCAGUAUGUGGACCUUACAAGAUGCGAAUGAGAUGCACAACAAACACGGGAUGCGAGGUCAAUUUCCGGACAAACUUUACUUACGAAGCAUUUAAAGAUUUCUGUUUUGCGCGCUACACAGGGCCUUUGGACUUUGCAUUUGAGAUUUGAGUCAGGUACCUGAAGUAGCGCGCGAAACGGAAAUACCAACACGAUAGGCCCAAUGCUAGGCACCUCCACACACAGCCGUAUAUUUUUGGGUGGAAAUGUUGUGCUAUUUUCUCCGGCAUCUCAACAGUGCAAUUGCACCUACGCCACGACUCACUAGGCAUUGUCGCAUGUCUAUUGUACUUCAUCAGGUGCUCUGGUUACUUUAGAUACCCGGCACAUGAUGGAGUACACUUCAUGUGCGAUCAACUGAUCUUCACAAUUUAAACAAAAAAAAUGCAUAUAUAGGUAUAUGAACUUCGAGAGAGCUUCACCAAAGAAUUCCAGCUCAAUGAUUUCCAGUUUAUACCAAAUAAAAUUAAAUAAAUUUUUAUUAUUAAAAAAAAACUCUUAAAGUGUUUUGUUUUCUUCGCCAAUGUCAUUGUAUUUUUGUAGAAUAAAACAA